This 64-nucleotide transfer RNA is filed under the name Ninguta schrenckii. Its description in RNAcentral is "tRNA-Ile". Lineage: Eukaryota; Metazoa; Arthropoda; Insecta; Lepidoptera; Nymphalidae. The record is from RNAcentral.
AAUAAAGUGCCUGACAAAAGGGUUAUUCUGAUAGAGUAAAUUAUGUAAUUUUUUACCUUUAUUA